Molecule: non-coding RNA, 2251 nt
Organism: Aegilops tauschii subsp. strangulata
Lineage: Eukaryota; Viridiplantae; Streptophyta; Magnoliopsida; Poales; Poaceae
Source: RefSeq, a predicted model, not a curated record
UGGAAGGAAUGGAUGGCUACUUGCCAAAUAUAAUCCAGGAUGAUUAUCAUGCAUCCUUAGAUGCCUGCUCAUUGUCAGCUUGCAUGUGUACAUGGGACAAAGUCAGUUUUUAUCUGACAAAGGUAUCGCAGAGUGCUUUAUUUCUGAUACAGCUUCAACGCACACGGAGAUUGCGCGAAACAGCAUGCCCCCUCUCUGCUGGCCACGCCUCUCCGCAGCCUAGGGCCUCACGUCCGGACCGCGGGUGACGACAAAGGCAAAAACGAGGAGCGUGAUGAGCAUUACGCCGGCAUGGCGAAGAGGUACAAAGCAAGGAGCUGGCGGCGGCUCCAUCGUGCGCCGACGAAGCCUGCCAGGAGGAUGAGACCGUCCAGGAUGGACGGGCCACGCGCGCGUAAGCGAACCAGAUCCCCGAGGCUUACGAGGACGGCGCACAUGCCAGUGUCCGGUAUGUUGUUUAUCACGGCUCACCCCACCGAUGGCUGGAUGCUCAAGCUGUGCCGCCGCUGCUUUCCAUAUGCUUGUGUUGUUUCUGUGUCUGCUGUGGGUUCAGCGCGGAUCUGAAGGCUUCCUUCAUGGAUGAUGGAUGAUGUGAUGCCGAAUGCGAGGCUAAGAUACAACCUGAGGAGUCCAAUGAUCUGUAUUACCAGCUUCUUCAUGGAAGGAAUGGAUGGCUACUUGCCAAAUAUAAUCCAGGAUGAUUAUCAUGCAUCCUUAGAUGCCUGCUCAUUGUCAGCUUGCAUGUGUACAUGGGACAAAGUCAGUUUUUAUCUGACAAAGGUAUCGCAGAGUGCUUUAUUUCUGAUACAGCUUCAGCGCACACGGAGAUUGGGCGAAACAGCACGCCCCCUCUCUGCUGGCCACGCCUCUCUGCAGCCUCGGGCCUCACCUCCGGACCACUGGUAACGGCAAAGGAAAAAACGAGGAGCAUGAUGAGCAUUACGCCAGCAUGGCGAAGAGGUACAAAGCAAGGAGCUGGCGGCGGCUCCAUCAUGCGCCGACGAAGCCUGCCAGGAGGAUGAGACCGCCCAGGAUGGACGGGCCACGCGCGUGUAAGCGAACCAGAUCCCCGAGGCUUACGGGGACGGCGCACAUGCCAGUGUCCGGUAUGUUGUUUCUCACGGCUCACCCCACCCAUGGCUGGAUGCUCAAGCUGUGGCGCCGCUGCUUUCCAUAUGCUUGUGUUGUUUCUGUGUCUGCUGUGGGUUCAGCACGGAUCUGAAGGCUUCCUUCAUGGAUGAUGGAUGAUGUGAUGCUGAAUGCGAGGCUAACAUACAACCUGAGUCCUCCAUUAUGCAGAGACAUGAGGUACUAAUAACAUUGCCUUCUUGGAGUAAUAAAAUUUAAAAAAAGGAGUUCAAUGAUCUGUAUUACCAGCUUCGUCAUGGAAGGAAUGGACGGCUACUUGCCAAAUAUAAUCCAGGAUGAUUAUCAUGCAUCCUCAGAUGCCUGCUCAUUGCCAGCUUGCAUGUAUACAUGGGACAAAGUUAGUUUUUAUCUGACAAAGGUAUCGCAGAGUGCUUUAUUUGUGAUACAGCUUCAGCGCACACGGAGAUUGGGCGAAACAGCAUGCCCCCCCUCUGCUGGCCACGCCUCUCCGCAGCCUCGGGCCUCACCUCCGGACCGCUGGUGACGGCAAAGGCAAAAACGAGGAUCAUGAUGAGCAUUACGCCGGCAUGGCGAAAAGGUACAAAGCAAGGAGCUGGCGGCGGCUCCAUCAUGCGCCGACGAAGCCUGCCAGGAGGAUGAGACCGCCCAGGAAGGACGGGUCACGCGCGCGUAAGUGAACCAGAUCCCCGAGGCUUAUGGGGACGGCGCACAUGCCAGUGUCCGGCUUCCUUCAUGGAUGAUGGAUGAUGUGAUGCUGAAUGCGAGGCUAAGAUACAACCUGAGGUACAGGAGCUAUUUAUACAUUGUCACUUCCCAGUCAGUCAUUGCAGUCAUUAAUCUUGUUUUAGUCUUCCAUUAUCUAGAGACAUGAGCUACUAAUAAACUUGCCUUCUUGGAGUAAUAUUGUUUUAAAAAAAGGAGGUCAAUGAUCUAUAUUACCAGCUUCGUCAUGGAAGGAAUGGACGGCUACUUGCCAAAUACAAUCCAGUAUGAUUAUCAUCCAUCCUCAGAUGCCUGCUCAUUGUCAUCUUGCAUCUGUACAUGGGACAAAUCAGUUUUUAUCUGACAAAGGUAUCGCAGAGUGCUUUAUUUCUCAUACAGCUUCAACGCACACGGAGAUUGCGCGAAACAGCAUGCCCCC